UACGGAGGGGGCUAGCGUUGUUCGGAAUUACUGGGCGUAAAGCGCGCGCAGGCGGUUGCUCAAGUCGGGCGUGAAAUCCCGGGGCUUAACCCCGGAACUGCGUUCGAGACUGGGGGACUCGAGUCCGGGAGAGGGUAGCGGAAUUCCCAGUGUAGAGGUGAAAUUCGUAGAUAUUGGGAAGAACACCGGUGGCGAAGGCGGCUACCCGGCCCGGUACUGACGCUGAGGCGCGACAGCGUGGGGAGCAAACAGG
This 253-nucleotide ribosomal RNA is filed under the name uncultured bacterium. RNAcentral's name for it is "partial 16S ribosomal RNA". It matches the Rfam family "Bacterial small subunit ribosomal RNA", at positions 524 to 776 of the family's 1533-position model. The record is from RNAcentral.